CGAGGUGUGGCUCAGUUUGGUAGAGCAAUACGUUCGGGACGUAUGGGCCGCUGGUUCGAAUCCAGUCACCUCGACCA
Molecule: transfer RNA, 77 nt
Filed under: Bacillota bacterium
Lineage: Bacteria; Bacillati; Bacillota
Also listed under: 1 other name
Description: tRNA-Pro
Rfam family: tRNA
About the family: Transfer RNA (tRNA) molecules are approximately 80 nucleotides in length. Their secondary structure includes four short double-helical elements and three loops (D, anti-codon, and T loops).
Source: RNAcentral